CAAGGAAGAACAUGCAGCAACAGGGGAAGAAGAAGAGAAGCAGGAAGAGGAAGAAGGAAAUGAAGAGGUGGAGGAGCCAGAAGAGUCUUAGUGCAGCUCCCUGUGACACAUUAUUUCUUGAACAGGUUUUCAGGAAGCACCAGGCUGGAGCAGCCCCGCCAAAGAAACUAAAAUCCCUCCCUCGAGCAAACCACCACUACCUUUUGUGCCUGUAGACUUCUAAACCUAGAAAUGCAUAGCAGAACACACCACUGUGUCCUCCCUGUGCCCUUUAUAUAUAUAUAUAUAUAUAUAUUUGAUAAUCAAAUUGCUUGUUCAAAUGGGUCUUAUGUCAGAUGGAUCACAUUUCAGUCAAUUGUUGUAUGUUGGAAUAGUGUUGUCCACGUCACAUUUUAAGCUCCUCAGGGCAGGAACCGCGUCUUUCUCCGUGUUUAUGCACACUGCCAAACACUUUACUGCCACUCAGCCACAGGGAUGUCCUCAGAGAAAGAGAAAUUCAGCCCCCAAAACUGCAGAGAGGCUUCCUGUGCCCAAACCAUGUGAGCCACUUCUCCCUCAGCUGGCAGGUGAAAAUGAUUGAGAUUUCCAUUGUGCAGCAGGUUAAAUAAAUGUGUUUUCUGUCAUA
Empidonax traillii (willow flycatcher) is the source of this 625-nucleotide long non-coding RNA. RefSeq lists it as uncharacterized. The transcript is spliced from 3 exons. The record is from RefSeq and is a predicted model, not a curated record. Lineage: Eukaryota; Metazoa; Chordata; Aves; Passeriformes; Tyrannidae.